GCGUUAUUCAGAUUGGCCAGGGCUGGUCUAAAACCGUUGGUUUUCGACCACUACGACCCGGGUUCGAUUCCCGCAUUGGGCA
This is a non-coding RNA of Cordylochernes scorpioides, 82 nucleotides long. Lineage: Eukaryota; Metazoa; Arthropoda; Arachnida; Pseudoscorpiones; Chernetidae. The record is from the annotation of a GenBank genome assembly.